AACGAACGCUGGCGGCAGGCCUAACACAUGCAAGUCGAGCGAAGCCUUCGGGCUUAGCGGCGGACGGGUGAGUAACGCGUGGGAACGUGCCCUUUGGUACGGAAUAGCCCCGGGAAACUGGGAGUAAUACCGUAUGUGGUCGAGAGGCGAAAGAUUUAUCGCCAAAGGAUCGGCCCGCGUUGGAUUAGGUAGUUGGUGGGGUAAUGGCCUACCAGGCCGACGAUCCAUAGCUGGUUUGAGAGGAUGAUCAGCCACACUGGGACUGAGACACGGCCCAGACUCCUACGGGAGGCAGCAGUGGGGAAUCUUAGACAAUGGGGGAAACCCUGAUCUAGCCAUGCCGCGUGAUCGAUGAAGGCCUUAGGGUUGUAAAGAUCUUUCAGUGGGGAAGAUAAUGACUGUACCCACAGAAGAAGCCCCGGCUAACUCCGUGCCAGCCGCCGCGGUAA
This 449-nucleotide ribosomal RNA is filed under the name uncultured bacterium. RNAcentral's name for it is "partial 16S ribosomal RNA". It matches the Rfam family "Bacterial small subunit ribosomal RNA", at positions 29 to 523 of the family's 1533-position model. The record is from RNAcentral.